This is a long non-coding RNA of Salvia miltiorrhiza (redroot sage), 563 nucleotides long. RefSeq lists it as uncharacterized. The record is from RefSeq and is a predicted model, not a curated record. Lineage: Eukaryota; Viridiplantae; Streptophyta; Magnoliopsida; Lamiales; Lamiaceae. The transcript has 3 exons.
UUUCCACCCACACUACACACGAUCCUUUGCCCCCACCAAAAUAAGCUUUAGCCAUGCCUAUUUCUCCAACAAAAUACCCAUUUCCUUCCACUUACCAUUUCUCCUACAUACCAAGGAACUAAGUGCGGAGCUACACCCACAGAAGUUCAGCUAUACCACACGGACUCCACAAACUCAGCUGAAAGCUCUAAAGAUUUCAUCUACAAAUCACUCUGUCCAUUUUACCUCCAUUCACGGCUUUGUGACCAGGGGGAUUAGCGCUGCUUUCCCAAGACAGGUUUAUAAGUGAUUAUGAUCUUCAGGCUUUGCCUAACCAGGUUGGCUGGCUGGUGCUGACGGGACGGAGCUGAGGCUAGAGUUAAAAUUCAUAUGUUAGACUUCCGCUGUAGCAAUUACUCUUAUACAUCUUUUGUUUUCUCAACUUAAGAUGACUUCAUUUGAGCUUCAAUUUAAAAUUUAUAGUUUUAUGUUAAUGAACGUCGGUUGUCAGAAGCAUGAAACAAAACUUGUGAUCCAAAGGGGCAUAGCCCGACUUUCUAUCCUAUUUCGGGUUUUUACAAGGU